CAACCCUCAAGCUCUGCUUGGUAUUAGGCCUUACCUGCUACAGGCAGGCCGUAAAAUCAGUGGCGGUGCCCUUCGGCUUCAAGCGUAGUAAUUUUUCUCGCUUCGGAGUACCGUUGCGUGCCUGCUAUAAAACCCCAAUUUUAUCAAA
This 148-nucleotide unclassified non-coding RNA is filed under the name uncultured Helotiales. Its description in RNAcentral is "sequence contains ITS2". The record is from RNAcentral. Lineage: Eukaryota; Fungi; Ascomycota; Leotiomycetes; Helotiales.